RNAcentral lists this transfer RNA (75 nucleotides) under Fidelibacterota bacterium. RNAcentral describes it as "tRNA-Pro". It matches the Rfam family "tRNA". From Rfam's summary of the family: Transfer RNA (tRNA) molecules are approximately 80 nucleotides in length. Their secondary structure includes four short double-helical elements and three loops (D, anti-codon, and T loops). Further hydrogen bonds mediate the characteristic L-shaped molecular structure. tRNAs have two regions of fundamental functional importance: the anti-codon, which is responsible for specific mRNA codon recognition, and the 3' end, to which the tRNAs corresponding amino acid is attached (by aminoacyl-tRNA synthetases). tRNAs cope with the degeneracy of the genetic code in two manners: having more than one tRNA (with a specific anti-codon) for a particular amino acid; and 'wobble' base-pairing, i.e. permitting non-standard base-pairing at the 3rd anti-codon position. The record is from RNAcentral. Lineage: Bacteria; Pseudomonadati; Fidelibacterota.
CGGAACGUAGCGCAGCCCGGUUAGCGCGAUAGACUGGGGGUCAAGAGGUCGGGAGUACAAAUCUCCCCGUUCCGA